This 241-nucleotide ribosomal RNA is filed under the name uncultured bacterium. Its description in RNAcentral is "partial 16S ribosomal RNA". It matches the Rfam family "Bacterial small subunit ribosomal RNA", at positions 1265 to 1500 of the family's 1533-position model. The record is from RNAcentral.
AAGCGGAUCUCUUAAAGACUGUUCUCAGUUCGGACUGCAGUCUGCAACUCGACUGCACGAAGCUGGAAUCGCUAGUAAUCGCGGAUCAGCACGCCGCGGUGAAUACGUUCCCGGGCCUUGUACACACCGCCCGUCACACCAUGGAAGUCUGCAAUGCCCGAAGCCGGUGGCCUAACCACUUAUGUGGAAGGAGCCGUCUAAGGCAGGGCAGAUGACUGGGGUGAAGUCGUAACAAGGUAUC